This 439-nucleotide ribosomal RNA is filed under the name uncultured bacterium. Its description in RNAcentral is "partial 16S ribosomal RNA". It matches the Rfam family "Bacterial small subunit ribosomal RNA", at positions 338 to 795 of the family's 1533-position model. The record is from RNAcentral.
CCUACGGGUGGCAGCAGUGGGGAAUAUUGCACAAUGGGGGAAACCCUGAUGCAGCGACGCCGCGUGAGUGAAGAAGUAUUUCGUUACGUAAAGCUCUAUCAGCAGGGAAGAAAAUGACGGUACCUGAGUAAGAAGCCCCGGCUAACUACGUGCCAGCAGCCGCGGUAAUACGUAGGGGGCAAGCGUUAUCCGGAUUUACUGGGUGUAAAGGGAGCGUAGACGGCAGUGCAAGUCUGGAGUGAAAGGCGGGGCUCAACCCCCGGACUGCUGUGGAAACUGUGCGGCUGGAGUGCAGGAGAGGUAAGUGGAAUUCCUAGUGUAGCGGUGAAAUGCGUAGAUAUUAGGAGGAACACCAGUGGCGAAGGCGGCUUACUGGACUGUAACUGACGUUGAGGCUCGAAAGCGUGGGGAGCAAACAGGAUUAGAUACCCGGGUAGUC